ACUACUCCAUGCAAAUUCCAGUCAUGGAGUGCCUGUCCUCUCUUCCUCCGUGUGUGACCUUGGUGCUGUACUGUGGGUCAGACAUGUCCUCAAGCGCGGGGUCCUGGAGCUGUGCACUGAUGACAGAGGCAGGGGCUAAUCUCGGCUGGGAGAUCACGCACUUGCCAGGCAAGAGGGACUGCUGCUUUCUACCAUGCAGAAUCAUCCCAGGGUUGUCAGGCUGAAUUUGUGCAGGGCAUUUCAUUCCUGGAAGGUGUUGGGGAUAUCUGCCUGCACCUUGGUGCCCACUGCAGCUUGACAAGAAUUAGAGCAGCUGUAGGAUGGUGGAGUCAUCCUGGCUUGGGGAGCUCACAUUUCCCUUUUUCUCAACACAGCCCUCUCUUGGGGUCUUGCAGACUGCGCUAUGACACUUUCCCAACCCACCCGUUUCCCUCUUUCUUGUGUUUUUUUCUCCCCAGGUUAGUGUUUAUUCUGCCUCAAUUUUCUCCAUUAUCUUUUCCUGCCCUCUGCAGCAUCUCUGCACAGAUUGACUGCAGAGAGCACUCGUACUCUGUAUUAAUCAUGCUAAGAGGAAAAAUGAGUAGAUAUUUCAAAGUAGAAUGGGAAAGAAGUAGUCCCUGCUCUAGCAGCAUAGCUCUUGUCUCUGCAAAUCCCUUGAUGUCUAAGGUUAGGGUGCAGUGUGGCCUGGACCAAUGUCCAGCUGACAAGCAUGUGAGUUGCUUAUAUUUUGGCUAUAACUGUUUGCUGUCUGUGCCCUCGGAGCAUUUAAUUACACACUUGAGUAAUUUUAGCAUAUGGCAUGAUUAAUGAGUAAUUUAAGUAAUUCCUCAAGCUGCCAGGACUCUAUCUGGUUGCAUUUAUAAAAUCCUCUAUACACAAGCAGGAGCACACUUGAGUGAAUUAUUUAGGGUUGUGCCUUUUCUUAUAUUCCUUUUAAACUGUACCAAGAGCUGGCAGCACUGCAGUGUGUGGUUGCUUUUAAAGCAGAGGCUCUCUUCUUGGGCGGACUGAAGUUACUGCAAAGGGCAGCUCUCGCCACUGGCCAGGCUGCGGCUCCUGGGGGCCAGCCCGGAGGUGAUGUGGGAAGAUGCUGGUGCUGCUCACACAUACCUCGCUUUCUUGGAGGUCGUGCGAAGCUGGAAGAAAACACAAUCUCAUUCCCAGUCACUGGAUUGCAGCCCCUCAAUUCCCACAGCAACCGGUCGGGAGGGUUAAUGGCACAGAUUGACCCUGCCUGUGGUAGGAGCAGGGAGGAGAAGAGGAGCAGGGCGGUGGAUGGGAUGGGCAGCCCUCACCCGAAGGGUGGCCUGGAAGCCUGCCCGGGAGCAGCUGCUGGCAGGCGGCUCCAGCGUGAAGGGCCAGCUUUGAUCUGCAAUUAAACACCACAGAAAGAGAAAGUAAAACUUCACUUUUUUUUUUUUUUUUUUUUCCUGAAGCAGCGUGGAUUUGUGCUGCCUGCCUGCCCGCAGCAGGGCACGGAGGUUGGGAUGGGGGCUGCCUGCGGGGUCCCGCAUGCCCCCUUCCUCUUAGUGGACAGCCUAUCAAAUAUAUAAGUUCAAUUUGAUUGGUGCGGGUAGGAAUAUCCCCAUUGGAAAGUGGGAUUUGGGAAGACUCCAUUGCAGACUCCUGCUAACCCAUCGUCCUACUUAACAAUGAACAGAAGAAUCUUCUUUUCUUCCACAAUAGCUUCAUUUGAUUCCAGGACAGCGGACGCCUUGCAUCUGCUCAUGCCCUUAAGCUGCUUCCUCACAGCAUCCCCUUUCUCCUGCUGCUGCCUGUAUUUUUUUUCCAUGUGUGCUGAGAGCAGUGAGGGACUCCAGGCAGGAUCUGCUGCUGCUGUGUGGGCACGUGGGAGAGGAAAAGCAAACAGCGAGAUGCAAGUGUGAAGGUUUUUUCCCAUGCCUCGGCGUUUCCUGCCCCAGUGAUGUUGCUUCUCAUGGGGAAACGGUGUAUGUUGCAGAGCCGCAGGGCAAGGGGAGAUGCUGUGAUGGCAUGAAAGCUUGCAUCCUUCUCCUCCUCUUCUGACUGUGAAGAUUUGGGACCUAUUCUGCCCUCCAGCCUGAGCAGAGGAGCAGGGAUCAUUCCGGUUGAUGCUGAUGGGAGCUGGGAGCACCAGGAGGAGGAUGUGGUGCUGGAGCUGGGAGGAGGCAGCUCUGGGAGGAAGCGCUCCAGAAUUCAUGACUACUGCCUCUCUUACCCACCCUGAGGCUGUGCAAGACGAAAAAAUUCCCUUCAGGUCAUUUGUUUUUUUCCCCCGAGGGCUGGAAGGGCAUCACACCCAGCUCCUGCCUCAUAAUCCUCACAGAGCUUCGUGUGAAUUAAUCACCUGUUUUGGAAAAUGAAGUCUGGAGAGCAUCCUGUGUUGAGUAGCAGAAGUUUCCAUGCCCGCAUCCCAUCUCACUUCAGUCCCCAGCUCCCUGGGGGCAAGGGACACUGGGAAAUUGGGACCACUUUUGCAUAGGCCACUGAAUGCAACCUGAGACGAGGUGACAGAGGCGGCAUUUGGGAGCGGCAUGAUGCAAGCCCAGCCCGAGCGAGGCGACACCGUCCAGCAGUCUGGAUGCUGCAUAUGACCCUACCUUUUUUUUUCUUUAUAAAUGGUCUUCACUCCAGUACAGAACGUCCUCUGACUUCUGAAGUAUUUGUAGUAUUUCCACGCCCUCAGUUGCCAAAAAACCUUCUAUUAAAAGCUUCUAUAUUUUUU
Molecule: long non-coding RNA, 2704 nt
Organism: Strigops habroptila (Kakapo)
Lineage: Eukaryota; Metazoa; Chordata; Aves; Psittaciformes; Psittacidae
Exons: 2
Source: RefSeq, a predicted model, not a curated record